GGUUAAGUCCCGCAACGAGCGCAACCCUUGUGCCUAGUUGCCAGCGCGUAGAGGCGGGCACUCUAGGCAGACUGCCGCAGACAAUGCGGAGGAAGGUGGGGAUGACGUCAAAUCAUCAUGCCCUUUAUAUCCCGGGCUACACACGUGCUACAAUGGCCUGUACAGCGGGUAGCGAAGGAGCGAUCCGGAGCCAAUCCCUGAAAGCAGGUCUCAGUUCGGAUUGCAGGCUGCAACUCGCCUGCAUGAAGUCGGAAUUGCUAGUAAUCGCGGAUCAGCAUGCCGCGGUGAAUACGUUCCCGGGCCUUGUACACACCGCCCGUCACACCAUGGGAGUCGGGGGCACCCGAAGCCGGUGGGCAAACCCUUUAUAGGGAUGCAGCCGUCGAAGGUGAACCCGAUGACUGGGGUGAAGUCGUAACAAGGUAGCCGUAUCGGAAGGUGCGGUUGGAUCACCUCCU
This 458-nucleotide ribosomal RNA is filed under the name Moorella sp. 215559/E30-SF1&2. Its description in RNAcentral is "bacterial SSU rRNA". It matches the Rfam family "Bacterial small subunit ribosomal RNA", at positions 1078 to 1531 of the family's 1533-position model. Lineage: Bacteria; Bacillati; Bacillota; Clostridia; Neomoorellales; Neomoorellaceae. The record is from RNAcentral.